CCUCUAGGAGGGAGAUAGGGUUUGGAACGCGAAGAGCACCGCACUUACGGCGGUGUCCGGAUCUUCCCCUCGGACCUUGAAAAUCCGGGCGAGGGCCACGAGGAACACCGCGCCGGCUCGUACCCAUAUCCGCAGCAGGUCUCCAAGGUGAAUAGCCUCUAGUCGAUAGAAUAAUGUAGGUAAGGGAAGUCGGCAAACCCGAUCUGUAACUUCGGGAUAAGGAUUGGCUCUGAGGAUCGUGGCGCGCCGGGCUUGGUCGGGAAGUGGAGCGGUGCCAACGUGCCGGGCCUGGGCGAGGUGAAGGGCGCUCGUCGCCUGGACCCUAGCUCGGUUCGUGCCUUGGCCACC
This 348-nucleotide ribosomal RNA is filed under the name Nematopus lepidus. RNAcentral describes it as "partial large subunit ribosomal RNA". It matches the Rfam family "Eukaryotic large subunit ribosomal RNA", at positions 1727 to 2093 of the family's 3401-position model. The record is from RNAcentral. Lineage: Eukaryota; Metazoa; Arthropoda; Insecta; Hemiptera; Coreidae.